UUCAGAGUGUGCUCUUCCGAUCUGACCUGUUCGUGAGUUUGAGUCGGAUCAAAACAAAUCAUUUUAAGCAGUUUGGAAUGCGUCCUCCCUGUUGGUGGGUGAAUGGUAGUGCUUAAGGGAAAUGGGGAUUGUGUUGAAGGGAGAGAAAAGUGUGUUUGGGAAAGGGUAAAAAUUAGGUUAAGCUGAAGUUAAAUCUUCCCAGGUGGUGUCGGGAUUUUUCUCAAUGCACCUCUUUUAAGAAACCAGCUUAUGUUAUGUUUUUCGUUCAGUGUAUCACAAAUUGUAUAUCUUCAGACCUACCAAGCUCUUAUGGAAGGGCUGAUAGAUGAAUGAGCAGGUGAACCUGAGGUCUCUGAUGGAAGAAUGUUAGUGCUAUGUGCAUGUGUGUUAAAGGCAUAUUACAUUGUUAUGUAUUUUAGCAUUGAUGUCCAAGUUAACUACAGCACAUAUUCAUCUUGUUAGUUAUAGAAAACAGUAUUCUAGUUUAUUCAAGAACACUUACAGUCAGUGAUAGACCAUUUAAUUUUAACCCUGAACUAAUGGGUGGGUUGUUUUCCAGCCUUGCUUUUCUGCAGGCUUCACCUCGAGUGCUGUGUGCUGACCACAUUUCUUAUGGACAUGAUUUCCAGUGAAAGAGGUGGAGGAACAACUAAACAUGUGAAAAAAGGGCAAAAGUAUACUACUGCUCUCUGUGAAGCUAAGACUUGUUGACUUUGGUUGCAUGACGGCGCAUCUGAAGUCAGAGUGUUGUUAGACUUUCCCAUUGUAGCUUGUAAAAAUCAAUAAGAAGAUGUUUUUAAAGUAAUUACCAAUACAGAAAACAGUGUGCAUUUAUGAAGCCAUACUGACAUCACUACUGUAAGACAUAAGUUAGGUGCCCGGACUGAGAUUUUUUUCUAAUUUCACAUGAAAUAUAUUAGGCUCCCUGUUAAAUAAGUGAAAUAGGAUAUCAGUGUAAUUGUGUGUCACCACUGACUGCUCAUGUGAUAAACAAAACAGUGACCCUUUUGUAGAUAAAAAAGACUACUUUUGGAUUUAUUUAUUUUUUUAUCUGUAUUUAUGAGCCAUUUGUGGGGUGUUUUUGUUUUGUUUCUUAGACAAACAUUGGUUUGUCAAAGUGCUAUUUUACAACACCCCCCCCCCCAUGUAUUAGUGUUGGCAAAAUGAAAAUUAAUCUACUUCCUGUUUUGGCUAAUGUUCAUUAACAUUACCCACCCAGUUUUAUGAGAAAACACAAGAUUAUCUGCCUCUGCUUUGUGCAGAGCCUCUUCAAGAGCUAGGUUUUUGCUUUUAUUUGAAUGGUUAAAUCACAGUCUGCCAAGGACUGCUUCUGUUGGGCUUGUAACUUUUAUGGGAGGCUCCGACACUGUUUUACUCAUGCAUGGCAUUAAAACUGAACAUGCAAGCAGGCAGAUCCAGAUUUCAAGUAAAGGAGAUCACAAGAACCUGACUAUCUGGUAUAUAUGUGAGAGCUAACACACACACACACACACACACACACACACACACACACACACACACACACACACACACACACACACUUGUGUAUCAUUUACUCUUGGAUGUGACACAGAUGUCAGUGUACUAUUAACUAGGACCCCUCUAUGGCUUUAUCUGUUGAGCCAAAGUAAGCCUGAUCUCCAGAGAGAGCAGGCAUUGUUAAACCCUCUCCAUAUCCCCAGAUGACUGCAGUAAAGUGGUGUGUGUAUGUGAGUUUUCCCCAAGCUCCUGUCUUCACAGUCCAGAUCUAAUUUGCUCUGACAGGAUGGUAAUAAGGUAGCAAUAGACACAUGCUGUGUGUGUGUAUCUGUAUUUCAGCCGUGAACCAUACCCACGCUGGCCUGUAACAGCCCACUGCUAAAAAGCAGGUGUUUAGAACCUCAAACUUACCCUCUGCGUGCGUAAAUGAAGGCCAUGUUGCACACAGACUUAAAUACUCACAAUCACAUACAAACUCGAGGGCACAGCUGUUGCACUGGCUUUACCGAAGAAACACAUUAUGUAACCAACUUUAGUUUGUCUAGAUAGAAGUGAUAUUGUCUCAUUUUGUAUCUCAUUUGAAAACCUAUCAAUGCACUAAAGUAGAUAUACUUCCCAGCCAUAACACUCUCUCUCUCUCUCUCACUCUCUCACUCACACACACACACACACAGCUGAGACAUUGUUUCACUGUACAUAUGCUCUCAUCUACACUGCUAUCUAUUUAUACCCAGCUGUGUUCUUCCGGGCUGCCAUAGCUCUGAAAAUUUUCUUUUGUCAAGUGCGCAGGACUUGAAAUCAUGACCACAUAUUAAACUUGAUUAUAGUUGUUGUUGAAACAUUUCCAGGAAACAUUCCCUGAUUUAGGUAGGAUGUUUUUCCUGUGUUUGGGUUUAAUGUUGUUACUAACAUUGGCUAAAGCCAGCUCCUAUAUAAUCAACUAUCAAAGUAACACUGGAAAUUAAUGUGUUAUUGUCCAAACUCUGAAUAAUAACGGCUAGAAAUGUUAAAGCUGUUUUAUUUCCUUUGAAGAGCUCAUUGCCCUAUUAAUAAUUUCUUUGCCACAGGGCCUCACCGGUCCUUGAUCUUGAGAGGCCAUAAAGCCAGGAGAAAAGAUUGUGAGCAAAAGGAUGGCUUCCUGGCAAGUAUUCCUGUGGCUCAGCUGGGAAAAGUCUGGGGAAAAAAACCCCCAAAACAACAAAAAGGGGCAGCACCAGCAGUGAGUGUAGCUGCUCCAUGCCCAAAUGGUCAGCUUACACUCGCAGAACUAGACCAGUUUCAGGUUGUAGUCUCACCCAGUUAACUCUAAGACUACAGCCCUACUUUUCAUGUCUGGUAUGCACUGUGGAUAGCUCGUUUGUAGCAUGAUAAAGUGUUCAGUAU
Long non-coding RNA from Haplochromis burtoni (Burton's mouthbrooder), 2862 nucleotides. RefSeq lists it as uncharacterized. NCBI's taxonomy places the organism in Eukaryota, Metazoa, Chordata, Actinopteri, Cichliformes, Cichlidae. The record is from RefSeq and is a predicted model, not a curated record. The transcript is spliced from 3 exons.